AGAGUUUGAUCCUGGCUCAGGAUGAACGCUAGCGGCAGGCUUAAUACAUGCAAGUCGAACGGGAUUCGAGAUAGCAAUAUUUUGAUGAGAGUGGCGCACGGGUGCGUAACACGUAUGCAACCUACCUUUAACAGGUGAAUAGCCCCGAGAAAUCGGGAUUAAUACACCGUAACAUUGCGGGAUGGCAUCAUUCUGCAAUUAAAGAUUUAUCGGUUAAAGAUGGGCAUGCGUGACAUUAGCUAGUUGGUGAGGUAACGGCUCACCAAGGCGACGAUGUCUAGGGGUCCUGAGAGGGUUAUCCCCCACACUGGUACUGAGACACGGACCAGACUCCUACGGGAGGCAGCAGUAAGGAAUAUUGGUCAAUGGGCGCAAGCCUGAACCAGCCAUGCCGCGUGCAGGAAGACGGCCCUAUGGGUUGUAAACUGCUUUUGUCAGGGAAUAAACCUGUCUACGUGUAGGCAGCUGAAGGUACCUGAAGAAUAAGCAUCGGCUAACUCCGUGCCAGCAGCCGCGGUAAUACGGAGGAUGCAAGCGUUAUCCGGAUUCAUUGGGUUUAAAGGGUGCGCAGGCGGAUUGAUAAGUCAGGGGUGAAAUCCCACAGCUCAACUGUGGAACUGCCCUUGAUACUGUUAGUCUAGAGUAUAGUUGAAGUUGGCGGAAUGUGUCAUGUAGCGGUGAAAUGCUUAGAUAUGACACAGAACACCGAUCGCGAAGGCAGCUAGCUAAGCUAUAACUGACGCUCAUGCACGAAAGCGUGGGGAUCAAACAGGAUUAGAUACCCUGGUAGUCCACGCUGC
RNAcentral lists this ribosomal RNA (800 nucleotides) under uncultured bacterium. RNAcentral's name for it is "bacterial SSU rRNA". It matches the Rfam family "Bacterial small subunit ribosomal RNA", at positions 8 to 803 of the family's 1533-position model. The record is from RNAcentral.